Molecule: ribosomal RNA, 714 nt
Filed under: Triticum aestivum (bread wheat)
Lineage: Eukaryota; Viridiplantae; Streptophyta; Magnoliopsida; Poales; Poaceae
Description: partial small subunit ribosomal RNA
Source: RNAcentral
AUGGCGCAGAGCACACUGCCGAGAAGCUGCAGAGCCUGGCCUCCCCCGACGACGAGUUCGAGAACGAGGGUCAUGGCGGCACCGGGCCUCCCCGAGGCGGACUUCAGGAAGGCGCUGGACUCGGCGCUCUUCAGGCGGUGGCUGGAGAGCCUGCAGGCGGAGAAGGGCCUGCUUGCCCACGGGAAGCUCAGCCUCCGCCAGAUCCUCAUCCAGGGGGUGGACAUGUUCGGGCAGCGCGUGGGAUUCCUCAAGUUCAAGGCCGACAUCAUGGACGAGAAAACCCAAGCCAAGAUUCCAGGGAUUUUCUUUGCAAGAGGGCCUGCUGUUGCUGUGUUGAUCCUUUUGCAGUCCAAAGGGCAAACUUAUGUUGUUCUUACUGAACAGGCUAGAGUUCCUAUUGGGAAGUUUAUAUUGGAGCUACCAGCUGGAAUGCUAGAUGAUGAAAACGGCGACUUUGUUGGCACCGCAGUCCGAGAGGUUCACAAGGCAUAUACCAAUCUUGCUGCCACUGCCAGGAAUCCGACGAGUUCCAUAAGCUGUCUGGAUCUUCGUACUCUUGCUGUGCUGGCAAACUCCACCCUGUCCAGCUCAAGGUUGGAAUGUCUAUUGACCCAAAGCUGUUUCAAAGAUGUUUCUGUCAAACUUCCCAGCAGUCUCUUUGAUAUUAGGUCUCUUAAUUAUUGGAAAGACACUGGUAGUAACAUUUAUUGGUAG